UACGUAGGCAGCAAGCGUUGUUCGGAGUUACUGGGCGUAAAGAGUGCGUAGGCGGUCCUGUAAGUUUGGUGUGAAAUCUCCCGGCUCAACUGGGAGGGUGCGCCGAAGACUGCAGGGCUUGAGUAUGGGAGAGGUAAGCGGAAUUCCUGGUGUAGCGGUGAAAUGCGUAGAUAUCAGGAGGAACACCUGUGGUGUAGACAGCUUACUGGACCAUAGCUGACGCUGAGGCACGAAAGCGUGGGUAGCAAACAGG
Molecule: ribosomal RNA, 253 nt
Filed under: uncultured bacterium
Lineage: Bacteria
Description: partial 16S ribosomal RNA
Rfam family: Bacterial small subunit ribosomal RNA
Source: RNAcentral